GCCUUGGAAGUGGGGGAUAGCCCGAAGAAAUUCGGAUUAAUACCGCAUACCCUCUACGGAGGAAAGCGAGCCUCUCUUGAAAGCGCGCGCUUUGAGAUAAGCCUAUGUCGGAUUAGCUUGUUGGUGGGGUAAAGGCCUACCAAGGCGACGAUCCGUAGCUGGUUUGAGAGGAUGAUCAGCCACACUGGGACUGAGACACGGCCCAG
This 206-nucleotide ribosomal RNA is filed under the name uncultured bacterium. RNAcentral describes it as "partial 16S ribosomal RNA". It matches the Rfam family "Bacterial small subunit ribosomal RNA", at positions 128 to 334 of the family's 1533-position model. The record is from RNAcentral.